Triticum aestivum (bread wheat) is the source of this 3410-nucleotide long non-coding RNA. RefSeq lists it as uncharacterized. The record is from RefSeq and is a predicted model, not a curated record. The transcript is spliced from 7 exons. NCBI's taxonomy places the organism in Eukaryota, Viridiplantae, Streptophyta, Magnoliopsida, Poales, Poaceae.
UCACGAGGGUUCCCGAUUGGUUCAGAACCCUAGCCUCCACUCCCUCGCGCCCCUCUUCUUCGCCCUUGCAGCCGCCGCCGCGCUCUUGCCCCCGCCGUGCCGCCGCCGCGCUCCUGUUCUUGCCCGCCGCGCGGCCGCCGCUGGCCCUGCUCCCCAUCCUCGGCCUCACCACCGGCGCAGGGCCAAAGGAGAAGGUAGAAGAAGACGCGCUCCACGGGGCCGGUGAAGAUCGAGGGCACAUCGAAGAAGGUGCUAGGCAGCGCGCCGCCGCCCUCCGCCGCGACGGCGAGCGUGUCGAGGACCCUGGUGGCCGUGGUCAUCAUCACGGACCUGCCGCUCGUGCCACCGCGUCCCCGUCGAGCUCGCGCGUCAUGUCGCCGGGAGCAGAGGAAGCCGGCGCUGCUCUUCCCAGAGGAGCGCUCUUUCGUGUUGUUGACUGGAGGAGACCAGUCGGAGCGAUGGGAUAGGCCAAGCGGAGCGUGGCGUCGCCGCCGGCUAGCGCGUCAACGGGAGGAGCCUUGCAGGUGGCCACACUAUAUAUUUCUCCUCAUUUAGCCUGCUCUCUCCUUUAAUUUAAUCCCUAGACUUUCUCUUCUUUGUGCAUGUUCAUUUGUGUACGUGCCUAGAAGAUGCCACCAACAGCAAGAUCUGGGAGAAAGAGGAGGAGACAAAGAGGGAGAUGGGGUCGGAAGAAGAGAUGGUGAAAGUAUCUGCUUGGGACUUCAUGGCUAGGCCUGUUAUUGCUAAGUUGGCAGCCCGUCACACUGUUGCACACUGCUACAUUUGUACUACCCCCAGCUGGUCCAAGUAGAGGAGAUAAGGCGCGUAUUUGGAUUCUUCAGGAGAUGCUUGCACCUUGGUCAGGUGGAGAGGCUGCCGAGCAGCAACCAGGUGGUGGCUAUUUUGUCUACUGCAUCUGAGGCUAAGUCAAUGCUGACACCGGGUUCAGGUCAGCCAUGGAUCUCUUCGUCCAUAAAUAAGAAAAUGUUUGUCAUUAGCCCUUCUCAAACUGUAGCUGUACAGAUUUAAUGUAUUUCUACAACGGAAAGAACCAUGAACCUGUAGAUGUAUUUUUCCUUUAGUCGUCUUUUGGUCUGAAAGCAUGUUUUUAUACCCAUCGAUUGAUGAAACCAUACAUCUGGAGGUGUACUCUUUUCCAUGGAAAUGAAAUCCUUCCCUUUUUAGCUUCAGGAAUUAACUUUAUUGUAACUUCCCUUUCACGAAAGAGGUAUGCAUUUUUUGGCUUAAGAAGCAUGAGCUAUAUUUACAUCUCUUUGUCGCCUGCUAGAUGGUUUUGUCUAAACGAAAAGGUUACACACUACCAAAUAUUUUCCAGCUAUCUCUUGAGUGAUCUUGCUUGUCAGUAAUGUUUACAGUUUACACUACCUAAAUCCUAAGCUAAGGUUUAUCAGUAAUUAGAUAUACUUAGGUAAGUAGAGCUGUACAAGCCUAAUAAUAAAGGUUCAUCAAAUGGGGAACUUUUCAUGUACAUGAUCACAUUUUUUGUUGGCCUUCGUUUUUUAUUUUCCUCCCCUGAACUGGGACAACGUAGCCUCUGUUCCCUUGAUUGUGUGGCUUUGAUCAGUUGGUGUAGAUUCUAUUGUUUGCUAUCUCGAGCAAUAUCAUAAAAAUCCGAUAUUGUAGAUUUGUAGACUAAAAUAGUCGCUCAUCCUCACUAUUCGAUUUUGGGCGUCCCUCUUAAUGUUUCUCCAACUGGCUACGUAGUUGUGUUUUAGUUGAUGCUGUAGAAUUUCAUUUUCUUGAAUGUGGAAGGAUACUGAAAGGGAUACAUUUCAGUUCUCAUAUUAUUAGAAUAUAUACCUGCUCCCUGUCUUUUUGGAUAUGUACUUCUGUUAGCUAUGUGAGCUAUGGCUGUCCUGUAACAUGUACUUCUUGGGGGCAGUAGCACUACUCAUCUGCAUGUACAAUGUUUAUUUAAGAUACAAGACAGAAUGACUGCAGUCUUGGUUGAUACCUGAUCAAAAUCACCUAUUUAGCUUUACUGGAAAUGUUCAGUUUCUUACCAGUUAUCAUUUGUUGUCAAUAUAAAAAAAGUUUGUUGCUAAGAGAAAACUCUUCCAAUUGAUGUUUGGGGAAUGAUGUGCAUGGUAUUUAACUUUAUAGUGAGGUUCUAUUUUACUUGCAUUUGUCUUGCUAUGUUACACCAGAUGCUUAAAGUGCAUUUGUUUUGACAACUAAAGAGUGGUGAGGAUUCAUCACCCUACUUCACUCGAGUUGCUUCAGCAUCUGCCAUCAUCUUUUGUUGUUUAUACUUUUGUAAAAUCUAUAGAUUUCUCAGCGGAAAACUGAUAGAUUCAAAAGAUGCAUCAAAGAUUUCUACUUCACUCUUUAGUGUUAUUUAUAGUUUUGUGUUUAACAACUUGACUACCUAUCAUCUCUCUCCUACGACAAUUUAAUGUGAACUUAAUUACCACUAGAUAUGCGAAUGUAAUGUUUACAUCUUAUCAAUAUGUACAUGCACGAUUAGUUAUUCAGGUGAACACUACUUUACCUUGUCGGCCUUAGAUUGCAGUAUUAGGCUCCUCCACUCAUUGCUUUGCUUAGUUAAAUUUGUGGGAGAAAACAAAUAUAUAUGUAUGCAUUUAUUAUGUUUAGUUUCUUUGACCUAAUUUUAUAGAGGAAAAUCUUAUUUUUCUGAUAAUUUGUUUCUUGUGCAGAAGAAUCACAAUGCUUACAAAUAUUGUUCUGAAUAUAUGGAUUUUUCGGUAAGCUCAUCAUUCAUUCGGUUAAGCAUACAACCUUCUGUUUCAUCUACAGAACAGAAGAGCCUGCCUACUGUUUGUUACAGCCGAACAGGAGCAUGUUUCAUAUCAUGACCCAUGAUCAACAGCGGGUGCUGCCUCUGCUUCUUAAGGCUUGACUUCGCUCUAUGGAAGGUCGAUUAGAACAAUGUGUAAUUAUUUAUGCCAGAUGUGUAUCCUCAAGGAUUUUGCUUGGUAACUUAGUGUGUAUCAAAGGAUUCUGAAAAAAAUAAGGUGAGUUGUUAUCGGACAUUGGACCCAUCCUCAUAGAACCAUCAAUAGAAUGAGUGAAGCGCCUCUCAUUUAGAGAAGAAAGAAAUGUGAAGAAUGGGGCUAUUCAUUGAUGCUCAAGUCCUCGAAGAAAUUACAUGAAGGCGACUCACUUGCAAAGGUGGAAAUGGAGAGAAAGUUGUUGAUGCUCAAAUCACGCAAUGAAGUAUGGAGCAAGAAGAGACAAAUCUGGAAACAAUUAACUUCCCAUUUUUGUGUGGCCUAUUCUUAGGUUGUAUCGGUUGUGGCAUUGACACUCGGUUUUUUUCUAUUACUCCUGAUGUUGGCCAUUUGAUGAAUAAUUGAUGAAUGCUCAAUUGUUUGGAGUUGAAUUUAAGAAUAUACCAGCAAUACAAGAAAGUUUUUUUUGACGGUGUA